CUCUUUUUUCUUAGACCGUAGCAUUAAGUAUUUCUUGACGAGCUAUAAGGGCAGUCCCAACGGAGAGUUUCUAGUUGUAAAUUUCAAAAGAAAAAAAUAUCAAUUAAUGUCUUAUAGAAACUCUCUCUCUCUCUCUCUCAAUCCAAGGUUUCUACAACAUAGUUAAUACAAGAGAAAAAUUAAAUACACCACAAAAGAAGAGAUGAUCAGAUGUGGCAUCAACCAUGUAGUCUCC
RNAcentral lists this long non-coding RNA (235 nucleotides) under Sorghum bicolor (sorghum). RNAcentral describes it as "long non-coding RNA (SBIC_LNC009211)". The record is from RNAcentral. Lineage: Eukaryota; Viridiplantae; Streptophyta; Magnoliopsida; Poales; Poaceae.